RNAcentral lists this ribosomal RNA (447 nucleotides) under uncultured bacterium. Its description in RNAcentral is "bacterial SSU rRNA". It matches the Rfam family "Bacterial small subunit ribosomal RNA", at positions 355 to 825 of the family's 1533-position model. The record is from RNAcentral.
UGGGGAAUUUUGGACAAUGGGCGAAAGCCUGAUCCAGCCAUGCCGCGUGAGUGACGAAGGCCUUAGGGUUGUAAAACUCUUUCGUCGGGGACGAUAAUGACGGUACCCGAAGAAGAAGCUCCGGCUAACUUCGUGCCAGCAGCCGCGGUAAUACGAAGGGAGCUAGCGUUGUUCGGAAUCACUGGGCGUAAAGCGCACGUAGGCGGAUAGUUAAGUCAGGGGUGAAAUCCUGGGGCUCAACCCCAGAACUGCCUUUGAUACUGGCUGUCUCGAGGUCGAGAGAGGUUGGUGGAAUUCCUAGUGUAGAGGUGAAAUUCGUAGAUAUUAGGAAGAACACCAGUGGCGAAGGCGGCCAACUGGCUCGAUACUGACGCUGAGGUGCGAAAGCGUGGGGAGCAAACAGGAUUAGAUACCCAUGUAGUCCCUGAGCGGGCUGGCAAGGCGCAU